GGAAACCGGAGCUAAUACCGGAUAGUUCCUUGAACCGCAUGGUUCAAGGAUGAAAGACGGUUUCGGCUGUCACUUACAGAUGGACCCGCGGCGCAUUAGCUAGUUGGUGGGGUAAUGGCUCACCAAGGCGACGAUGCGUAGCCGACCUGAGAGGGUGAUCGGCCACACUGGGACUGAGACACGGCCCAGACUCCUACGGGAGGCAGCAGUAGGGAAUCUUCCGCAAUGGACGAUAGUCUGACGGAGCAACGCCGCGUGAGUGAUGA
Molecule: ribosomal RNA, 266 nt
Filed under: Bacillus sp. CSeA0_44
Lineage: Bacteria; Bacillati; Bacillota; Bacilli; Caryophanales; Bacillaceae
Description: partial 16S ribosomal RNA
Rfam family: Bacterial small subunit ribosomal RNA
Source: RNAcentral